AUGGGGAAGCCGCAGCCGAGAUCGGCCAUGGUGAAACCGUGGGGCAUCCUCUCCCGGUUCCUCCUCUUCUCUGUAGCUUUCAUGCUCGGCAUGGCGUCCACCUUCCUCCUCCAGUCACUACUCCCCACCACUGGUACCGUGAUCUGGCUUGCCUCUGCUGACCUCUCUGCGGCACCUACUUCUGCACCUCCGGGGCUGGUCCUGGGGCCGCCUCUCCCGCAGGAGCUCGGGGACGGCGAUAAAAAAGAGAGUGGCGGCGGUGGUGGAGACGAAAGCGGGGGCAUGGUGAUGCUGCACAACAUGACGGACGACCAGCUGCUGCUGCGGGCGUCUAUGGCUCCGAGGAUCAAAGGGAUCAGCUUGCUGGUGCCUCCCGCGCCUAAGGUGGCGUUCAUGUUCCUCGUGCGUGGUGAGCUGCCAUUGGCGCCGUUGUGGGAGAGGUUCUUCCAUGGGCACACUGCACUGUUCUCGGUGUACGUGCACCCUGACCCUACAUACCUCAGCUCACCGGAGAAGGGGUCGGUCUUCUACGGCCGCCGUGUGCCCAGCAAGGAAGCUCGUUGGGGGAAGUCUAGCAUAGUCGAGGCCGAGCGUCGUCUCCUCGCAAGUGCUCUCCUCGAUGCCAUGAACCAACACUUCGUCCUACUCUCUGAGACAUGUGUCCCUCUCUACAACUUCACCACGGUCUACUUCUACCUCACGCAAUACGCUGGUGCUACCUCCUUCGUCGACCACUUCGAUACACAACGUUCUCGUGGCCGCUAUAGACCUGCCAUGGCGCCCACCGUCACGCUCGCUAAUUGGCGCAAGGGCUCCCAGUGGUUCGCGACUGACCGGGGUCUCGCGCUUGAGGUCAUCAGCGACGUGACCUACUUCCCGGUUUUCCAACGCCACAGCAAUGGCCCCUGCAUCAUGGACGAGCACUACCUGCCGACAUUUAUCGCCGCCUCAAAGUGGCAUGGGAAUGCAAACCGUACACUCACGUUUACCCAGUGGACAAGGGGGCCUCAUCCUGAUAGCUACAAUGACGUAAGUGUCGACCUGCUUCAGGGGAUGAGGAACCAUGGGAACUGCAGCGACGGUGGCGGGACCACAUCGCUUUGCUACCUCUUUGCAAGGAAGUUCCCAUCGGGCGCGUUGCCGGAGCUACUCAGGCUGGCGCCCAGAGUCAUGCGGUUUGGGUGA
This 1185-nucleotide ribosomal RNA is filed under the name Triticum aestivum (bread wheat). Its description in RNAcentral is "partial small subunit ribosomal RNA". The record is from RNAcentral. Lineage: Eukaryota; Viridiplantae; Streptophyta; Magnoliopsida; Poales; Poaceae.